ACGAACGCUGGCGGCAGGCUUAACACAUGCAAGUCGAGCGCAUCCUUCGGGGUGAGCGGCGGACGGGUGAGUAACGCGUGGGAACGUGCCCUCUUCUACGGAAUAGCCUCGGGAAACUGAGAGUAAUGCCGUAUACGCCCGCAAGGGGAAAGAUUUAUCGGAGGAGGAUCGGCCCGCGUUGGAUUAGGUAGUUGGUGGGGUAACGGCCUACCAAGCCGACGAUCCAUAGCUGGUUUGAGAGGAUGAUCAGCCACACUGGGACUGAGACACGGCCCAGACUCCUACGGGAGGCAGCAGUGGGGAAUCUUGGACAAUGGGGGCAGCCCUGAUCCAGCCAUGCCGCGUGAUCGAUGAAGGCCUUAGGGUUGUAAAGAUCUUUCAGCUGGGAAGAUAAUGACGGUACCAGCAGAAGAAGCCCCGGCUAACUCCGUG
This 432-nucleotide ribosomal RNA is filed under the name uncultured bacterium. RNAcentral describes it as "partial 16S ribosomal RNA". It matches the Rfam family "Bacterial small subunit ribosomal RNA", at positions 29 to 507 of the family's 1533-position model. The record is from RNAcentral.